GUGUCAGCCGCCGCGGUAAGACAGAGGGUGCAAACGUUGUUCGGAAUUACUGGGCGUAAAGCGCGUGUAGGCGGCAUGGUAAGUCGGAUGUGAAAGCCCACGGCUCAACCGUGGAAGUGCACUCGAAACUGCCAAGCUAGAGUCCUGGAGAGGAAGGUGGAAUACUCGGUGUAGAGGUGAAAUUCGUAGAUAUCGAGUGGAACACCGGUGGCGAAGGCGGCCUUCUGGACAGUGACUGACGCUGAGACGCGAAAGCGUGGGGAGCAAACAGGAUUAGAUACCCGGGUAGUCC
This 292-nucleotide ribosomal RNA is filed under the name uncultured bacterium. Its description in RNAcentral is "partial 16S ribosomal RNA". It matches the Rfam family "Bacterial small subunit ribosomal RNA", at positions 505 to 796 of the family's 1533-position model. The record is from RNAcentral.